This 344-nucleotide ribosomal RNA is filed under the name Attulus floricola. Its description in RNAcentral is "partial 16S ribosomal RNA". The stretch from base 8 to 302 matches the Rfam family "Bacterial large subunit ribosomal RNA", at positions 2074 to 2646 of the family's 2925-position model. Lineage: Eukaryota; Metazoa; Arthropoda; Arachnida; Araneae; Salticidae. The record is from RNAcentral.
ACUUAAAAGAAAGACGACAAGACCCUAUUGAACUUUACUGUAGUUUUACUGGGGCAGUAAAUCAAUUAUUAUUUUAAUUUAAAUAUUUAUAUAAAUAUCCAAUAUUAUUGAAUAAUUAAGUUACCAUAGGGAUAACAGCGUAAUUAAAUUUAAGAGACCUUAUCUAAAAAAUAGAUUGCGACCUCGAUGUUGAAUUAAUAACCUAACAUAAGCAAAAGUUUAUAAAGGAAGUCUGUUCGACUUUUAAAAAAUUACAUGAUUUGAGUUCAGACCGGUGUAAGCCAGGUCGGUUUCUAUCUUCUAAAAAGUUUUCUACAGUACGAAAGGACCUAGAAAUAUAAUUA